CGGGGUGCAGCAGGCGCGAAAACUUUGCAAUACACGAAAGUGUGACAGGGUCAUCCCGAGUGCCGACCGCUGAGGUUGGCUUUUACCCAGUCUAGAAAGCUGGGGGAAUAAGGAGAGGGCAAGUCUGGUGUCAGCCGCCGCGGUAAUACCAGCUCUCCGAGUGGUGUGGACGUUUAUUGGGCCUAAAGCAUCCGUAGCUGGCUGAACAAGUCCCCUGUUAAACCCACCGAUUUAAUCGUUGGUCUGCGGGGGAUACUGCUCGGCUAGGGGACGAGAGAGGCAGACGGUAUUCCCGGGGUAGGGGUGAAAUCCUAUAAUCCCGAGAAGACCACCAGUGGCGAAGGCUGUCUGCUAGAACGCGCCCGACGGUGAGGGAUGAAAGCUGGGGGAGCGAACCGGAUUAGAUACCCGGGUAGUCCCAGCUGUAAACGAUGCAGACUAGGUGUUUGGACGGCCACGUGCCGUUCUAGUGCCGCAGGGAAGCUGUUAAGUCUGCCGCCUGGGGAGUACGAUCGCAAGAUUGAAACUUAAAGGAAUUGGC
Molecule: ribosomal RNA, 541 nt
Filed under: uncultured archaeon
Lineage: Archaea
Description: bacterial SSU rRNA
Rfam family: Archaeal small subunit ribosomal RNA
Source: RNAcentral